This 433-nucleotide ribosomal RNA is filed under the name uncultured bacterium. RNAcentral describes it as "partial 16S ribosomal RNA". It matches the Rfam family "Bacterial small subunit ribosomal RNA", at positions 29 to 507 of the family's 1533-position model. The record is from RNAcentral.
AACGAACGCUGGCGGCAUGCCUAACACAUGCAAGUCGAACGAGACCUUCGGGUCUAGUGGCGCACGGGUGCGUAACGCGUGGGAACCUGCCCUUAGGUUCGGAAUAACUCCCCGAAAGGGGUGCUAAUACCGGAUAAUGUCUUCGGCCCAAAGAUUUAUCGCCUUUGGAUGGGCCCGCGUUGGAUUAGCUAGUUGGUAGGGUAAAAGCCUACCAAGGCGACGAUCCAUAGCUGGUCUGAGAGGAUGGUCAGCCACACUGGGACUGGGACACGGCCCAGACUCCUACGGGAGGCAGCAGUGGGGAAUAUUGGACAAUGGGCGAAAGCCUGAUCCAGCAAUGCCGCGUGAGUGAUGAAGGCCUUAGGGUUGUAAAGCUCUUUUACCCGGGAUGAUAAUGACAGUACCGGGAGAAUAAGCUCCGGCUAACUCCGUG